UACGUAGGGUGCGAGCGUUGUCCGGAAUUAUUGGGCGUAAAGAGCUCGUAGGCGGUUCGUCGCGUCGGCUGUGAAAUCCCGAGGCUCAACCUCGGGUCUGCAGUCGAUACGGGCGGACUGGAGUUCGGCAGGGGAGACUGGAAUUCCUGGUGUAGCGGUGAAAUGCGCAGAUAUCAGGAGGAACACCGGUGGCGAAGGCGGGUCUCUGGGCCGAUACUGACGCUGAGGAGCGAAAGCGUGGGGAGCGAACAGG
RNAcentral lists this ribosomal RNA (253 nucleotides) under uncultured bacterium. Its description in RNAcentral is "partial 16S ribosomal RNA". It matches the Rfam family "Bacterial small subunit ribosomal RNA", at positions 524 to 776 of the family's 1533-position model. The record is from RNAcentral.